Molecule: long non-coding RNA, 1221 nt
Filed under: Elaeis guineensis (African oil palm)
Lineage: Eukaryota; Viridiplantae; Streptophyta; Magnoliopsida; Arecales; Arecaceae
Description: long non-coding RNA (EGUI_LNC003057)
Source: RNAcentral
UUGCGUCUUCUUGUUUGAGGACUAUAUUUUGAAGUUUAAAUCAAUGCAUUUCUUUUUGGUCCUUUCUUCCCUUAACUUCUUUAAACUUGUUUUUUUUUUUGUUGACUUUCAAAUCUUUCAAUGAUAUCAUUUUCUCUAUUAUUUGAUUCAACUAUGAGUACCUUUGCCACCAGCUUCUCUUCAGUCAUUGUAUAUGAUCCUGAUCAACGCACCACCACUUUACAUCUGUUUAUCUAACUCAUGGGAAUCCUUAAUCUUACGGUACUUGUGUUCCUAGAUUUUUGAGUGCAUCCUUUCAUUGUAUUUUCCCCUAAAGCUGUGAAUUGUGCUUGCUUUGGGACUAAUAAAUUCCCAUGUUCUCCGAAUCAUUCUUCAUUUGCAUUCAUUCACAUUGUUUUAGUUUUUAAUCUUUGUGUUUGAAACCCUUUAUCUUUAAUGGAUUUGAUUUAUGCAAAUUCAGCAACUAAAAUUGUUUGUUUUUCUAGACAUGAGGGGUGUUCAGCAAAAUGGCCAAUUGCUCUUAUAUUUGAACUUUUGAAGUGCUUGCACUCUUCUUCCAGUUAUUUUGCAGCUUUGAUGGGAUACAUAAAGUUUGGUUUUCCUUGUGUUCUUUCAACAUGUGAGGUGUGCAUAUGGUCCAAGCCCCCUUUUGGGGUGAGUUUAAACCUCUUUCUCUUCCUAAUUCUUCAACUUUCUGAACUCUCUUCCAUUCUGCAGACAUUAUUAUAGCCCUUGUACCUUCAGCCCUUCUCCCAUGGAUGGCAGACAUGUUUGGCCCUCCAAAACACUAUAGCCAGCCACUUCUCUUGCUUCCAGUUUGAGCUCAGGCCUGUAUUAAAUUUUUGAAUGCUCAAAUUUGAUUUUUUUUUUUUUUUAAUAUAAGGCUCAAGCUUGAUAUUUAAACUGUAUAAAUUAAUCAAACAUCAGAUGCCAUACUGAAGAUGUGUACCAUUGCGGAUUUCUGAUAAGCUGGACCUUUCUCAGCUGUACUGCUCAUUGAAAGAAUCAUCUAACCCAAGCUAUAUGGUGCAGAACUCUGACAAAUUAAGGGACCAUAUGAUGACUAUAAGGUACUGAGACAUUAUCUACGUGGAUGAGUGAUAUGGUCUUGGAAUUUUGGAACUUAGUUGCACCAGAUUGCUACAUAUCAGCUGGUGAUGCUUCACAAUCACAUCAUGAAGUGUUAUGGUCUUAAAAUUUUUGAAUUUAGUUGCAUCAGAU